Lactuca sativa (garden lettuce) is the source of this 1525-nucleotide non-coding RNA. Lineage: Eukaryota; Viridiplantae; Streptophyta; Magnoliopsida; Asterales; Asteraceae. The record is from RefSeq and is a predicted model, not a curated record.
ACACGGUAAUACCGUAUCUCCGAUGUUACCCUAAUCUCCUCUACAAACAACAGCCGUCAUCAAACCACUAAUCACUGCCACCACAUGGCCACAACCUUCUAAAGACGUCGCCUCCAUUUCUUCUCUGGGUUUAGGACUUUCAAGAUUUCUGUACAAUCUCCCUAAAUUCUGUUAAUCUAUUCUUCUAUUGUAACUCUUUUGCAGGUGUUCUGGAAGUUACCGGGUAUAACGAGCGUUGACACGUCGCCGAUGGAGAUGCGGGAAGACGAAGCCGACGACGAUCGAAGUCUGCAACCUACCUGCGUGGAAAUUGAACCAGUACUCGAACACAUCGUUGGUUCAAAUCGAAGGAGUGAACACGAAAGAGGAGGUAUCAUGGUAUCAAGGGAAACGUAUGACGUACGUCUACAAAGCCAAGGUCAAGAAGAACGGAUCACACUAGCGGUGCAUUUGGGGGAAAGUUACCAGCCCUCAUGUGAACACCCGUAUUGUUCUUGCUACGAUCACUUCCAAUCUCCUUCCUAAAUCCAUGGGUCAAGGGUCAGAGUGUUCAUGUACCCAAGCAACAUUUAAGUUGGAGCAAGAAGGAAGAAAAGUCUGGUUUUCAAGUGGUUUUUGUCAACAUAUUGCCUGAACUUCAACUAUUAUGACAAUAAUCAUUAAAAUAAUACUUAUGUGGCGAGAUAGAUAUAAUGGUGAAAGUAGGUGAUGUGUGUUGAGAGAUUGAGAUGCAUUUUUUCUUUUUUUUCAAAACCUGGUAAUCAAGAAAAGUUUUUUUUUUUUUUUUUAAAGUUUGUCUAAAAAGUAUAAUGGAUUAAUUACUAAGUGGCUAAAUCGAUAAAAUGGUGAGGGUAACUUUCUGUAUUUUUCCCUUUUAUAUUUUAUUCGGUCAAACUUGUAUUAUUAGUCUUUCUUCACUCACACUCAUAAAUAAGCAGAGGAUUAUUUUACCCUAAUUGUUCUAUAGGAAUUCAAUCCAGACCCGGUGAUAUCAAUUUAUACAGCCAAGCUUGAGCAUGUUGAGAAAGCACUAAGGCAUGUUUAUCAUGUCUCGGUGAACAGGCUAAAAGGAAAUGAAUUGGAGCUUCUAUUAGUCAUCUUACCUGAUAAUAAUGGAUCCUGAUACGAUAUGUUUAGAGGUUUAAGAGGUUUAAAUGGAUCCCAAUGAUUGCAGUUUCAUUACUCCAGGUGUUUAUCUACCAGAAUCGAUAUUCUCACAUGGCCAACUUUAUGUGGCGUUGUCCAAAGGAAUAUCACGUGUCAAUAUCAAUGUAUUAGUAAAGCCGGAAAAAAACGUUUGAUAAUGAUGGAAUCUACACAUCAAACGUUGUGUACAAAGAAGUUUUAUGUGACUAACAAGGGCUAAUAGAUGAAACAACAUGAUUGCAGAUUGAUGUAUUUUAUAUAUUGGACAUGUUAUAAAUAUACAAAACUACAUGAUUGCAGAUUGCUGUUACUUAUAUAUUGUAAAAUCAAGUAUGAACUAUUAGAUGAAAUUCCAAAUGUAGACUCAACUAUUGUCGUA